This 253-nucleotide ribosomal RNA is filed under the name uncultured bacterium. RNAcentral's name for it is "partial 16S ribosomal RNA". It matches the Rfam family "Bacterial small subunit ribosomal RNA", at positions 524 to 776 of the family's 1533-position model. The record is from RNAcentral.
UACGGAGGGUGCGAGCGUUGUCCGGAAUCACUGGGCGUAAAGGGCGCGCAGGCGGCGCGGGAAGUCCGUGGUGAAAGCCCGAGGCUCAACUUCGGGUCGGCCAUGGAUACUCCUGGGCUUGAGCACUGUAGAGGCAGGUGGAAUUCCGGGUGUAGCGGUGGAAUGCGUAGAGAUCCGGAAGAACACCGGUGGCGAAGGCGGCCUGCUGGGCAGUAGCUGACGCUGAGGCGCGACAGCGUGGGGAGCAAACAGG